This 488-nucleotide ribosomal RNA is filed under the name uncultured bacterium. Its description in RNAcentral is "SSU rRNA". It matches the Rfam family "Bacterial small subunit ribosomal RNA", at positions 26 to 518 of the family's 1533-position model. The record is from RNAcentral.
AGGACAAACGCUGGCGGCGUGCGUAACACAUGCCAAGUCGGACGGGGUUCUUGGCUUCGGCUGGGGAUUCAGUGGCGGACGGGUGCGUAACACGUGGAUGACCUGCCCCGCGGUGGGGGAUAGCCUGCGGAAACGCGGGAUAAUACCGCAUGUGGUGCGGCUGGGGGACCGGCCGCAGGAAAGCUUCGUUGGAAGACGAGGCGCCGGGGGAGGGGUCCGCGGCCGAUUAGCUAGUUGGCGGGGUAACGGCCCACCAAGGCGACGAUCGGUAGCUGGUCUGAGAGGAUGAUCAGCCACACUGGGAUUGAGAACGGCCCAGACUCCUACGGGGGGCAGCAGUGAGGAAUCUUCGGCAAUGGGGGCAACCCUGACCGAGCAACGCCGCGUGGGGGACGACGGCCUUCGGGUUGUAAACCCCUUUUCUGCCCGACGAGACGAGGGACGGUAGGGCAGGAAGAAGCCUCGGCUAACUACGUGCCAGCAGCCGC